This 296-nucleotide long non-coding RNA is filed under the name Homo sapiens (human). RNAcentral describes it as "HSALNT0213129". The record is from RNAcentral. Lineage: Eukaryota; Metazoa; Chordata; Mammalia; Primates; Hominidae.
CCAGGCCAGAAAACACAGGUGUGAAAGCCAGGCCCAGUCCACAAGGGCAAGGCUUGCAAGAGAGGAAGGAGGAAUCGCGGAGCAGCAAACCAAAGCCAGGCCUGUGUCUUGAGAGGGCUUCUCACCAAGGGAAGCUUCCAGGGCCUUCUCCAAAGCACCAUAUUCAAGCACUGGAUGCUGCUUGGACAUAUCAAUUGAGGUCCCAGAGAAAUCAGUAUGGGGAGAAGAAGGACUUGGAAUCACACAAACAUGGGUCCGAACCCUGCUUGCCCUUCCCAGCUGGGUAAACUCCAGGC